AGUGAACGCUGGCGGUAGGCCUAACACAUGCAAGUCGAACGGCAGCACAGUAAGAGCUUGCUCUUACGGGUGGCGAGUGGCGGACGGGUGAGGAAUACAUCGGAAUCUACUUUUUCGUGGGGGAUAACGUAGGGAAACUUACGCUAAUACCGCAUACGACCUACGGGUGAAAGCAGGGGAUCUCCGGACCUUGCGCGAUUGAAUGAGCCGAUGUCGGAUUAGCUAGUUGGCGGGGUAAAGGCCCACCAAGGCGACGAUCCGUAGCUGGUCUGAGAGGAUGAGCAGCCACACUGGAACUGAGACACGGUCCAGACUCCUACGGGAGGCAGCAGUGGGGAAUAUUGGACAAUGGGCGCAAGCCUGAUCCAGCCAUACCGCGUGGGUGAAGAAGGCCUUCGGGUUGUAAAGCCCUUUUGUUGGGAAAGAAAAGCAGCAGGUUAAUACCCCGCUGUUCUGACGGUACCCAAAGAAUAAGCACCGGCUAACUUCGUG
This 492-nucleotide ribosomal RNA is filed under the name uncultured bacterium. RNAcentral describes it as "partial 16S ribosomal RNA". It matches the Rfam family "Bacterial small subunit ribosomal RNA", at positions 29 to 507 of the family's 1533-position model. The record is from RNAcentral.